This 66-nucleotide transfer RNA is filed under the name Halidaya aurea. RNAcentral describes it as "tRNA-Asp". The record is from RNAcentral. Lineage: Eukaryota; Metazoa; Arthropoda; Insecta; Diptera; Tachinidae.
AAAAAUUUAGUUAAAAAAUAACAUUAGUUUGUCAAACUAAAAUUAUCAUAAAAAUGAUAUUUUUUA